Molecule: long non-coding RNA, 299 nt
Organism: Rhinichthys klamathensis goyatoka
Lineage: Eukaryota; Metazoa; Chordata; Actinopteri; Cypriniformes; Leuciscidae
Exons: 4
Source: RefSeq, a predicted model, not a curated record
UUGUAGUUUUUGUUCUUCAAUCAGAAAUGAUAUGUUAUUAAUGCUAAUGUUGUCUGAAUUAUGUUUUCUCUUGUCUUUAUCCUGAAUUUUCUUCAGCACACGAUCAACUACAGGAUGAGAAGAGCACAAUACAACAUGAACGUGAUCAACUUUUACACAGUCAGAAGAUUAUUCUACCAAAAGCUCUCCCACAUUUAAGAACACACACAGUGAAAGUGACUCUGGAUGCUGAUUCAGCUCAUCCACGUCUCGUCGUGUCUGAUGAUGGGAAACAAGUGAGAGAUGGAAACAGCCGGAAC